UUCAUUUAGUUUAAGGAAAUUUAUUUGGAGUAAUUAAGUAACUAAAUAUUAUCUUAGUAACAGUAUAGUAACCAAGUAUGUUACUAUACUUGGUUAGUUGUGUGCUUAACAUUGUGUGCUCUUGCUCUAAACUACUGCUUCUUAUUAUAAAUCUCUUCUGAAACAGGAAGGUGAAGCUGAAUGCAAGGCUGAAGAAGAGAUAAAAAACAGCACUGUUUCUGAAGAUUACCUUAAAAAGAUUGAAGAUUUCAAGGAAGUUUCCAUAUCACUAGACUUGGUUCAUGAAACAAGUGAAUUAUCAGUUUAUAUUGAUAGGCGAGACCUUGAUGAAUUAAUUUCUGGUGUUAAAUGGAUCUCCACAUCUAUCUUGUCUCUAUGGUGCUCAUAUCUACAUGGCAUUUGUAUCUCUAAGAAUGUCAGUGAACUAUUUGGAUUUCUUGAUCCAAAUAGGACACUAAUUACCACUAGAGAUCCCAAUGCUAUUAAAUCUUACAUACAAGAUAGGUUGGAUGGCGAGUCAAAAAAAUGUUACUUAGGACCAUUGUUAAAUAACAAUCACUGGCAAUUGUAUGUUAUUUGUCCCCAAGAUAAUGAUAUCUUUUGGUUUUGUUCAUUAAACACAAAACCCAAGAAACGUAUUAAGAACAUACUUGAGGGAGCUGUAACAGGAUAUCAGUUAUUAAGAGGUUUUGAGAAUAAAAAGCCUAAUUGGAAGAUUGUCAAGG
Long non-coding RNA from Vicia villosa (hairy vetch), 725 nucleotides. RefSeq lists it as uncharacterized. NCBI's taxonomy places the organism in Eukaryota, Viridiplantae, Streptophyta, Magnoliopsida, Fabales, Fabaceae. The record is from RefSeq and is a predicted model, not a curated record. The transcript is spliced from 4 exons.